GCUCAUAGAUAUUGGACUCCCUGUUCAUUAUUGCUUUUUGAGAUUAUUUCAUGUUCAUACAAUUACUUCAUGAAUGUCUUGAUUAGAGAUCUUUAUGUCGUGUGGGUCGUUGCUAGAUGAAUGCCAUGUUCUUUUCAUUGUCGCUGCGACAACGAUCAGCGAUCCAGAUUUAUAACUAACUUGAGACACGUGGCUGUGGUGAGUAACACACGUAACACCAUUAAAACAUUCGCAUCGCCUCCUUUUCACCAUUCCAACUAUCGCUCAUUUUUCCAGCGAUACCCGUGGAAAUGAUCGCAGCUACUCCUUUUUUAUUAUCCUCCAUUUCUUUUACUUCUGUUGAUGUUAAAAUUCUGGUCGCUUAAAGCUGUCGCAACAACUUUGAACCGAACAGGGCCAAAAUAAAAAAUCAAUCUUUUUAGGGAACUUUAGGUGGCACUGAGUAAUAUGUGAUUCUCAUCGCUGUAGUUUUGU
This is a long non-coding RNA of Arabidopsis thaliana (thale cress), 474 nucleotides long. RefSeq annotates it as other RNA. NCBI's taxonomy places the organism in Eukaryota, Viridiplantae, Streptophyta, Magnoliopsida, Brassicales, Brassicaceae. The record is from RefSeq. The transcript has a single exon.